CGCAGCCGCGGUAAUUCCAGCUCCAAUAGCGUAUAUUAAAGUUGCUGCAGUUAAAAAGCUCGUAGUUGAAUUUCGGGACUAAUAUGUCGGUCGUGCCUCGGUACGUACUGGUUUAUUGGUUUCUCCUUUCUGAAGAACCAUGAUGUCAUUUAUUUGGUGUCGUGGGGAAUCAGGACUGUUACUUUGAAAAAUUAGAGUGUUUAAAGCAGGCUCACGCUUGAAUACAUUAGCAUGGAAUAAUGAAAUAGGACGUUUGAUUCUAUUUUGUUGGUUUCUAGGAUCGACGUAAUGAUUAAUAGGGAUAGUUGGGGGCAUUAGUAUUCAAUUGUCAGAGGUGAAAUUCUUGGAUUUAUUGAAGACUAACUACUGCGAAAGCAUUUGCCAAGGAUGUUUUCAUUAAUCAAGAACGAAAGUUAGGGGAUCGAAGACGAUCAGAUACCGUCGUAGUCUUAACCAUAAACUAUGCCGACUAGGGAUCGGAUGAUGUUAAUUUUUAAUGACUCAUUCGGCGCCUUACGGG
RNAcentral lists this unclassified non-coding RNA (520 nucleotides) under uncultured Glomus. RNAcentral describes it as "SSU rRNA". It matches the Rfam family "Eukaryotic small subunit ribosomal RNA", at positions 569 to 1094 of the family's 1831-position model. Lineage: Eukaryota; Fungi; Glomeromycota; Glomeromycetes; Glomerales; Glomeraceae. The record is from RNAcentral.